Molecule: transfer RNA, 77 nt
Filed under: Arthrobacter sp. S41
Lineage: Bacteria; Bacillati; Actinomycetota; Actinomycetes; Micrococcales; Micrococcaceae
Description: tRNA-Arg
Rfam family: tRNA
About the family: Transfer RNA (tRNA) molecules are approximately 80 nucleotides in length. Their secondary structure includes four short double-helical elements and three loops (D, anti-codon, and T loops).
Source: RNAcentral
GCCUCUGUAGCUCAGUUGGAUAGAGCGACCCUCUCCUAAAGGGUAGGCCAGCGGUUCAAUUCCGCUCAGGGGCACAA